Molecule: transfer RNA, 75 nt
Filed under: Candidatus Pacearchaeota archaeon
Lineage: Archaea; Nanobdellati
Description: tRNA-Arg
Rfam family: tRNA
About the family: Transfer RNA (tRNA) molecules are approximately 80 nucleotides in length. Their secondary structure includes four short double-helical elements and three loops (D, anti-codon, and T loops).
Source: RNAcentral
GCGCUUGUAGCUCAGUUGGAUUAGAGCGCGUCCCUCCUAAGGACGAAGUCGUAGGUUCAAGUCCUACCAAGCGCG